AUGCUCUCGAGACACAUGCCUGGAGGUGCCCAUGGGAUCCUCUCGCUGCUGACCGUGGCGUUCGUCCUCCCGGAGGUGUCCGGGCUCCAGUGCUACGGCUGCAACAUCAUCGUUGGCACCAAGUACGUGGACAUGGGGUGCUCGAACCCCGAAGUGAUCACCUGCUCCCACUCCCACCAGGGCUUCAAACACCGGUUCUGCAUUAAGACAGAGAGCGGUGAGUCUGCCCGGCUGUCUGCCCAAAGCAAACCCCGUAGCCUUGCAGCCUCCCUCCCUGAUGCCCCGCGCUCUGCUUGCUUUCCAGUGGUCCUGGGCAGCCUGCUGACCAGCGGCUGUGCCACCUCCCGUCACUGCCAGCAGCAGGAGCUGCCGGGGGUCCGCAUCCACUGCUGCGACACCGAUCUCUGCAACGGCUCCCCCCGGCCGCCCCCCGGCCUCGACGGCGGCUGCCUCCUGCUGCCCUGCCUCCUGGCAGCCCUGCUCCUUUCCUGAGCCCCCCGCAGGGCCUGGGGUGGGGGUGUCUGAGCUUUGGAGGGGGCAGGAGGGGACGUGCGGCCAUCCCUGCCCCUGCAGCGGUGAACAAAGCCCUCCUCGCCCCUCUCCUCAAUAAAAGCCGAUGAAUGUUUUGCCCUGGAGAGGCC
Molecule: long non-coding RNA, 641 nt
Filed under: Anser brachyrhynchus (Pink-footed goose)
Lineage: Eukaryota; Metazoa; Chordata; Aves; Anseriformes; Anatidae
Description: lncRNA (ENSABRG00000021678.1)
Source: RNAcentral